Molecule: unclassified non-coding RNA, 334 nt
Filed under: soil metagenome
Description: partial contains 5.8S ribosomal RNA, internal transcribed spacer 2, and large subunit ribosomal RNA
Rfam family: 5.8S ribosomal RNA (bases 1-117)
Source: RNAcentral
GAUGAACGUAGCGAAAUGCGAUAAGUAGUGUGAAUUGCAGAAUUCAGUGAAUCAUCGAAUCUUUGAACGCACAUUGCGCCCCUUGGUAUUCCAUGGGGCAUGCCUGUUCGAGCGUCAUUUGUACCUUCAAGCUUUGCUUGGUGUUGGGUGUUUGUCUCGCCUUUGCGUGUAGACUCGCCUUAAAAUAAUUGGCAGCCGGCGUAUUGAUUUCGGAGCGCAGUACAUCUCGCGCUUUGCACUCAUAACGACGACGUCCAAAAGUACAUUUUUACACUCUUGACCUCGGAUCAGGUAGGGAUACCCGCUGAACUUAAGCAUAUCAAUAAGCGGAGGA